CGGAUGAACGCUAGCGACAGGCCUAACACAUGCAAGUCGAGGGGCAGCACAUGAGUAGCAAUACGAUGGUGGCGACCGGCGCACGGGUGAGUAACACGUAUGCAACCUGCCUGUAAGAGGGGAAUAACCCGGAGAAAUUCGGACUAAUACCGCAUAAUACCACGAGACUGCAUGGUUUUGUGGUUAAACAUUUAUGGCUUACAGAUGGGCAUGCGUAUGAUUAGAUAGUUGGUAGGGUAACGGCCUACCAAGUCUACGAUCAUUAGGGGUUCUGAGAGGAAGGUCCCCCACACUGGUACUGAGACACGGACCAGACUCCUACGGGAGGCAGCAGUGAGGAAUAUUGGUCAAUGGGCGAGAGCCUGAACCAGCCAAGUCGCGUGAAGGAAGAAGGUUCUAUGGAUUGUAAACUUCUUUUGCAGGGGAAUAAAGGACGGUACGUGUACUGUUUUGUAUGUACCUUGCGAAUAAGGAUCGGCUAACUCCGUG
RNAcentral lists this ribosomal RNA (489 nucleotides) under uncultured bacterium. RNAcentral's name for it is "bacterial SSU rRNA". It matches the Rfam family "Bacterial small subunit ribosomal RNA", at positions 27 to 507 of the family's 1533-position model. The record is from RNAcentral.